Molecule: non-coding RNA, 32 nt
Filed under: Mus musculus (house mouse)
Lineage: Eukaryota; Metazoa; Chordata; Mammalia; Rodentia; Muridae
Source: RNAcentral
AGACAAAGUAAUAACAUAGUUAACAUAGUGUC